RNAcentral lists this ribosomal RNA (439 nucleotides) under uncultured bacterium. Its description in RNAcentral is "bacterial SSU rRNA". It matches the Rfam family "Bacterial small subunit ribosomal RNA", at positions 958 to 1398 of the family's 1533-position model. The record is from RNAcentral.
AACGCGAAGAACCUUACCCAGGCUUGAACAGCGAGUGACCACUCAUGAAAGUGAGCUUCCGCAAGGACACUCGUAGAGGUGCUGCAUGGCUGUCGUCAGCUCGUGUCGUGAGAUGUUGGGUUAAGUCCCGCAACGAGCGCAACCCUUGUUUGCUGUUGCCAUCAGGUUAUGCUGGGCACUCUGCAAAGACCGCCGGUGAUAAACCGGAGGAAGGUGGGGAUGACGUCAAGUCAGCAUGGCCUUUAUGUCUGGGGCUACACACGUGCUACAAUGGCCGGUACAAACCGUCGCGAGCCCGCGAGGGGGAGCUAAUCGGAGAAAGCCGGUCUCAGUUCGGAUAGCAGGCUGCAACUCGCCUGCUUGAAGUUGGAAUCGCUAGUAAUCGCGGAUCAGCACGCCGCGGUGAAUACGUUCCCGGGCCUUGUACACACCGUACGUC